CUGGGGUUAAACAGGCAGAGCGCAAAUUUGGGGCAGCGCCCCCCUCCCCAGUGUCCAAACCCAGCUGGAAGCCAGAAGACUUGGGAGUCAUUGAAGCUGCCUGCAUUCCUCGGCGUGUGGCCUUGCAUCAGUCUGACCCCGCUUCCAUCGCCACCUCUCCCUCGGCCUCCUGGACACUCCGAUGAGGACCCCGUGACCAUAUCAAGCCCACCCACGUAACCCAAGAUAGUCUCCGUCUCUCAAGAUCCUUCACUUAAUCACGUCUGCAAAUUCCUCUUUGCCACGUAAGGAAACACAGUCACAGUUCUGAGAAGCAGGACGUGGACAUCUAGGAGAGCCAUCAUUCAGCCAGCAGAGGCCCCACGAGUUUUCCAGUUUGAGCUACCUGGAAACCUUUGGCUACCUUUAUAUAGUAUUUUUUCCUGGUUACUCAUUGCCUCUGUUUUUAAAUCACAAAAUACUUGAUGUGAGAGUCCAGGAGGGGCUGGAAGUGCGGGUGGGUGGCUCUGGAGGGACUCAGGACCUUGGAGCCAGGCAGAGGGGCUGGCUCUUGCCACAUCCACGAGGGCUCUGUGACAGGUGGGCUGAGCUGGAUCACGGCUGCGAACCUUGGUUUCACUUUAGCAUCACUGGAGGGGUUUUGCCAGCAGCCCUGCUGCCCAGGCCUCUGUGAUCGCCUUGGGACCCCAAGUCAACGGACACCAGGAUUGAUAACCACGGGGCAGAAGAGGCUCCAGGAGGGAAUGCAGGGAAGCAGCUCAGAAGCCAGGAGCGGAGAUGGAGGAAUAAAAAGUGGGGCAGACCCAGAAGGGUUUGUUUAUUGCGGAAGACAAAGUCUGCAGAAUCAAAAUCUGCAGAACGGCUGAGAACAAGAGCCCAGUGUCACCACAGUCUGUCGACACAUCCAGGGCAGAGGCCUUAGCCGCAGUGAGUGUAGACUGAGUCUCAGAAGAGCUCCCUAGUGGGUACAGAGCGAGGUCAGAACCCACUCCUCUGUCUCUUCCCCAGUCCGCCUUUGCUCUUCCCGGUAGAUAACAGCUAGGAAACAAGGGCAACAGAAGCCUGGGAGAAGGCCUGCUCCUGGGACCGGAGGACCAGCAGGCCACCUGCACCGGGACCCACGUAGACUUGGAAUUGCCUGCAGCAACAUCAAACAUCUGCUGAUGGAGCCAGCACAGUGGUGAGCGCCUGUGGUCCCAGGUACUCGGGAGGCUGAGGCAGGAGGAUCCCUUGAGCCCAGGAGUUGGAGUCUAGCUUGGGCAACAUAGUGAGACCCCACCUCUGAAACAAAUGGAUUAAAAACAAGCUGACAGAGGCUGAGCUGUGAUAUCAGCUGAGGAGAUGAGCUCCCAGGCAGGUUAGAUUCAACCAAACUCCAGAUUCAGCCAAACUCCCACUGAUGUAUCUGAUUGGGGCAGCCCCGGGCAAUGGAAAGAGAUGUGGUUUCGGAGACUGGUUCCCAAAGUUGUAGCCAAGAGACCCUGGGGAACAGCACAUACCCUCUGCCUCACUUUCCUCAUCUGUGAAGAGUGGACAAUGCCCAGUGUGUGUGUCAUUGGCAAGCCACGGAGUGCUACAUAGAGGGACACUGGGAUGCUCAAACCAUGAGCACAAGGGCUGCAGGACCCACAAAGCUUAUGCACUGAAAUCACCAAGACAAAGUCCUUCACACUCUGUAAACAGGAAUGUGUUGCAAUGAAGGGGUUUCUAACCAACUCUCAUCUAGAGCAGAACUUCUCAAACUAUCUGCAGGUAAGAUUUAAAAAAAUAUUUUUUAAAAGCUGUAAUUCAUUGUGGACUGAUAUUUUUAUAAAAUAAAAUUACUAGAAAAAUACAACAAAAAAGAUUCAGACGAAAUGACUCAUCACAUUGCCAUCAGUGAGGAUGUGCUUCCUCGGUUGCUGUACUCGUCUCGCUGAGGAUUGGUGACGAGCAGUGAGCCAGCUCGGGUGCCCAGGUCACACCUUGGGACUGAUCCAGCCUCUCCCCACUCAAGGUGGACCAGCUGCAUCAGCCCUACCCAGGACUUCCCAGAAUCUGCUUUUUAAUAAGAUGCCCACGUGAUUCGCGUCCACGUGUAAGGUUGUGGUGACACCCGCGGCAGCCGGGACUCGGGAAAGUUUUGUAGAAUGAAUUAACCAAAACCUCUGCCUGCAACCUCAAUUUCCGAUGACACCAGAGCUGAUGACACGAACCUUCUUCCAGAUGAGCAGGACCAGCUAUGUCAUUUGCAGAACCCGGUGCAAAAUGAAAAUGUGGGGGCCCUUAAAAAAAUAAAAAGCCAUUCAGAAUUUCUAAGAUGGUGACAGCCAAGUGGGCCCCCUUCUGACAUGUGACUGUACGGGUCCCCACACACGAAGCUGGUGAGGUACGGCUGGGUCCUUCUGGACUCAUGCAUGCUAGCCGAGUUAUGAGACUUCUGCUGUUUUGUUCACUAUCAACCAUUAUAAUUAAAAAGCUCUAACCCCUCAUCUUUUUGACCUUUAUUUUUUUCUCAAUGUGCAAAUAGAAAUGGUUUCAAAUGGCUGUUCUCCCUGUGUAUAUAAUUCUUUCAAAAAAUACAAAUAUGCAUAUGUCUAUUAAAAUGUGAAUGGAAGCUCUCUAUAGGGAAAGACAAUUUGUGCUCAUUUAUUUUAUUGACAGUGUACAGAUUUUGAUAUAUUGCAUUACAAUACUGACUGCUAGAUUUCU
Microcebus murinus (gray mouse lemur) is the source of this 2691-nucleotide non-coding RNA. The record is from RefSeq and is a predicted model, not a curated record. NCBI's taxonomy places the organism in Eukaryota, Metazoa, Chordata, Mammalia, Primates, Cheirogaleidae.